Molecule: long non-coding RNA, 3098 nt
Organism: Gasterosteus aculeatus aculeatus (three-spined stickleback)
Lineage: Eukaryota; Metazoa; Chordata; Actinopteri; Perciformes; Gasterosteidae
Source: Ensembl
CCCCGGUGAUAAAUGGAGGCCUCCCUCCUCCUGAGCAGAUAUUGAUGGUUCUUUGGGCUUAUUCCUUUAAUCUGUUGUUCACCUCGGAGCGGAAAUAGAAUCCCCCCCCCAGGGUCAUUUGGCCCCUCGUAUCUCUGUCCGAGCCGACAACUCUCUCCCCCAUAUUUCCUAGUUUACCUCAAACCUUCAGCUUCACCACGUGGAACAAGAAGAAGAAACACAAUACAAACCGUUUAAUUCUUUGUUCACGUCACAUCAGAUUCCAUCUUCUAAACUACAGAUACAUUUGAGCAUUUCAUCACUCCAACGAGUCCUCAUCAUUGUUGUUGUUGUUUGUGCUUCUCAGGACAGCGGUUGGCGAUGUAGUGACUGACGGCGUGUCCAGGUGUGUAGUGUGCAAACAGUCAAAGCUCCGCCCCUUUCCUGCAGGUACAUUGUCACCACGAUUGAGACUGAAAGAUCAUUUAUCUUAUAAUAAAACCCGCGACUGACAUCGUUCUGAUGCUUCAUUGUAAUUCCAAACUGAUUGCCAUGGCAACGCCCCGCCUCCACUGAGCGACGUAAAAACAAUCUGGGUGGGGAGAAAGAUAUAGAUGUAUAUAUUUUAUUAUAAAAUCUAUUCGACCAAACGGUGGUUUAUAAACUGACGAUGUACCAACAAAAAUAAGAGUUUAACCAUCGGAGACGACAGAGUGCAUCAACGCAGCGAGCGGCAAACAAAAUGCUACAAAACUUCUACAGAGAAACGAGACACUCGUUCUGACCAGAUGUUAGCUGAUGCUCUCUAAUGCUAGCAGAUGUUAGCUGAUGCUUUCUAAUGCUAGCAGAUGUUAGCUGAUGCUCUCUAAUGCUAGCAGAUGUUAGCUGAUAAUCUCUAAUGCUAGCAGAUGUUAGCUGAUAAUCUCUAAUGCUAGCAGAUGUUAGCUGAUGCUCUCUAAUGCUAGCAGAUGUUAGCUGAUGCUCUCUAAUGCUAGCAGAUGUUAGCUGAUGUUAGCCGAUGUUAGCCGAUGUUAGCCGAUGUUAGCUGUAGCUAGCACCUGUUCGUUGGUCUGCUGGAUCACGAGUCAGUAAAAUCUCUUAAUAAACGUAAUAAACCUAAAAUACACUACGCGUAUAAUCACAGUAGUUUCUGGCACCGUAAACAUGUUUCAGUAGUUUCACCAUCAAACCGCGCGACCUCCGCGGAGAGCCCCUCCCCUCAGAGGUCCGUGGUGAUGACGGGCGUGACCCCGUGGAUGAGCAGCGUGGGGCCCAGGUCCCGCGUCAUCAGCUGCAGCUGCUGCAGGUAGGUGGUGUAGCGCCGGGUGUCGGCCGGCGGGCGGGGCAAGUACAGGAAACGCACGGCGGGCGGCGGCCGGGCCGAGUCCAGGAUCAGCCGGUUGACGGCGGACAGGUAGUCGUCCGACAGGCGCGUGGCGUUGCUCGGGAAGCUGUUGGCGUACUGGUCGUCGUUCUCCUCCUCUUGCUCCGCCCGCCGCUCCUUCUCCUCGCCGGGGGACGGCGGCGGCGGAGGCGGCUUCUUGCCCCACUCGCCCUGCCGCUGCCAGUGGAGCGCCACCUGCUGGUCCCAGGGCACAGAGUACACCUGAGCUUUGAUGCGCAGCUCCUUCAGCAGCUGGCCCAGCUUCUGCUCCGAGCCCCUCACCGUCCGCCCCUCCUCCACGCACAGGAAGAGGCGGAGCGUGGCCCGGCGCCAUGCGCGCACCAUGUUGAGGAUGCACGCCAGCUGCAGCAGGAAGAGGGAGCAGGUGUCGACGUAGCUGCAGCUGUCGGGGCGCAGCAGGUUGACGGGCCAGACGUCGACGUACAGCGCCCCUUCGGCCCGGCGGAGAGGACGCGGCCGCGGUCAAAGUCGUUGAAGUGCCGGGCGAGCACCACGUUCUUCAGCAUCUUCAUGGCGUCGGCGAUGACGGACACGUACUCCUGGGGGCCGAGGACCUUCCCGUCGCCCGACUCGCCGAGGUCCCGCCCGUCGCCGGACCCCCGCAGGGUCGAGAAGUGGAAGAGGGCGGGCUGCCCCUCGGGGAUUCUGAGGGGUCCGCGGGCUGGCCGGCGGCGAGCAACGGAUCGAUCAGCUUGUCCCUCGGGAGGCCGUCGUCGUAGAAACCGAGGACGAGGGUGUUGGGACGCAUCCCGCCUGAAACGGUACAAAGGGUGGGGGGGGCGUGGGGGGGGUCCGGUGAGACUGGAACUCCAGAGAAUAAACGUCUGUAAGCUCAGUUAGUUUCUUCGUCCUCGUAUAUCAGCAAUCAGCAAAACGUAUUUAACAGCAUGUUUUUGUAACGAAAGGUUCAAGCACUGAAAGCAGUGAAGUGGCUGCUUACUGAGCAAAGUUCUCUGACUGGAAUUAUACUGAAUGAGCUCGAGUUGAAGUGGAGCUUCAAUGGAAACACAGAAAGAAACUAAACACACACUAAAACGACGAGUUUAAGUGUUAAUUAGAUUAGAAUAACCACCAUGAAUAACAGAAUAACAGCAGGUGGCGGUUGAACUUGAAGUGUUAGCGCUCAGUGAAGUGGAAGUGUGAGUUUCAGUUUGGGCACUAAAGGAAAAGGAAGUGGCCGCCAAAACAAAGAGACAGUCAAAGAGGGGCGAUGAUAGUUUAGGCCACGCAGACGCUCGGACGGCGACAUUAAUACCAGCGCGAGCGUCCCGGCGACCUCACCGACCUGCUGGUGCAUUGUGGGCCGGCGAUGGCACUGACCUAGUCCAGAGAUGAAGAGGAGGUGCUGGACGCCGUGACGCACCGAGUCGGCCAGCGUCAAGUUGACGAAGGCUUUGAUGUUGAGGUGGUCCACCAGCGACAGCCAGGAGUCGUACUUGGACUGCAGGGGGUCCGACGGCAGCUUGUCUGAUGGGGGGGGGGGACAAAACGGUGUGAGGCGAGGGAGAAGAGCUGCUGGGCUUCAGAGACAAAUAGAGGGGGAGGAGGAAGAGAUGAGAGGCUCAGAUGUCGGCACACAGAGCCCCCCCUCCCCGCCCUUCAAAAUAAAACAUCAAGCAAUUCAUAGAGUGUGAUCUCUACAGACUCAUUGGAACUCUGAAGCACUUUAAAUGGAAUGCUUGGGACAGGUCGUCAUUACAGGGGUCCUCAGAAU